AUUUCAAAGAAUGCCUCUCAUUUUCCUGAAACACUCAAAUUACAGUCAAAUAUUUAACACGUGGAACAAAAAUAUACAAAGGUUAAAAAAAAAGCUGCUUAUCUGAGGUUUUGAAAAAAUGCUUAGUAAGCAAAAGCUGUUCUGCUACAUUUCCAUUGUCAAUGUAUCCCCAAGGGGAGAACGAGAGAGAAAUGGAACAGCUUGCUAUGAUCGGCAUUAUAUUCCCUUAAGGCUGAACUGUCAGAUCCCUAUUUAUGAUAUGAAUUACUGCCACCUACUCACCUGGGGACAGCAUGAUUUCUGCUCCUGCUCACUGGACCCCUCUGCUGCAGCUACAGAAUGGAGCACUAGCAAGAGAAGAAUAGGAAGAGAAGUACCACUUCUUAAUCUGUCCCCUGCUGGCGGUAGGAUCAAAAAGCACAAGAACACAGCAAAGUUGCAUGAGACAGUAGCUAACUAUGAUGAUGACCCCAAGACAUAAAAUUAAAAUAAUUCCAGUUGUUCUGACAAAAAGACCACCCAAGACGGUUGAGCAAGAAGAUACCACUUCAAACAUGUCUUCUGGAGACUUGUCUAUGCCUUCUAUCAAUAAUAAGCACAUAGAUUUGAACAUUGUUAUUAUCCAAACACAAAUCAUGACUUUGUGUUUCACUGCAUGCACCAAGGAUAUGUAUCUAAAAGACCAGUGAACAGCAAAGCAUCUGUUAAGUGCCAUCACAGUCAAAGUUAUUAGUACUCCUCCUUCAAUUGCUACUUGAACUCCAAAGAUUAUCCAGAAUACAAUUUUGGGACUUUUCACAGCAAGUGCUCAUAUUGUAUUGUAUGCAACACCAAAACAGGAGAAUAAAGAAG
Long non-coding RNA from Dermochelys coriacea (leatherback sea turtle), 852 nucleotides. RefSeq lists it as uncharacterized. The record is from RefSeq and is a predicted model, not a curated record. NCBI's taxonomy places the organism in Eukaryota, Metazoa, Chordata, Testudines, Dermochelyidae. The transcript has 3 exons.